GAGAAGUGCAGUAUAGAUUGCCAAUGUUUGAAGCUUCUUCAGUCGGCCAAGACUAGAUGGAAGAAAGCCGGAGAUGCUUGUUUCAGCUAAACCAAGAAUCACCAAACUACUGCAAUUACCAAUUUCUUCCGGCACAGAACCAUGUAUCGACCCUUCGAGUAGAUUUGAAUUGAGGUAAAGCUGUUCAAGAUCUACCAAAUUGCAUAUUUCACUUGGAAUUUCUCCCGUUAAGCCAUUGUCACUGAGUUCCAAGGUACGCAACUGGGUAAGAGCACUGAUCUCUUUAGGAAUUGAACCAGUGAGAUUCACUCCAGACAAGACAAGCCUGUUCAAGGAUGACAAUGGAGAGAAAUUCAAUGGAAGCUUUCCUGGUAAGUUCACGUAUCUCAAUACUACUUCCACUACUUCUCUAUUUCUAUUGCAAGUGAUUCCAAACCACCCACAUGGAUUUUCAUUGUUGGGGUUCCAAUUAUAUAGAGCCUCGUUUGAUCCAUUAAAACUUAGCUUCCAAUUGAGUAGAGCUUGACCCUGUUCAUUAAUGGCGGAAACUCCAAAAGGGAAGAAAAGAUAUGAGACUGAAAAACAAAGGAUUAGGAUAGAUGAGGGGAGGGUCCAUGAAUUUACAGGCAUUAACAUUACAACUAAACUACAAACUCCAAUGAAAGGAGAAACAAGAAAGUGGGUUUAAGCCUAGGGAGUGCCAAAAACAAGAGAAGCCAAAUCAUGUCUUGCGGUCUACGAUGUCUUAAAUUAGGUACCCUAUAAACUAUUAAAGCAAAAAACAAUUCAAAAUGCCUGAAAUCCUGGGAUCCAAGAAGAACAGCUAGGCCAUGAUGGUUGUGCAGAGGGAAAAUGGAAUUUUUGGUUGGCGUUUCCUUUGUAAUUUUUUAUUCAUAAAGAUGAGAGGUGGGAGGAAGGUGGAAAACUGUGUAUUUUAUUUCAAAGAACUACAAAAAAGAGAGAGAAAGAGAGAUAUAAGGAGAAAGAGAAGGGCACAAAUCACAAUGAAAGCUAAGUGAUUUUGCAUACUUAACAAUGUUCCUUUGAGAAAACUUUUUACCAACAGUUAUUCGAGUGAGUGUGAUGAAUUAAAGGCCAGAUAUUAGAAAAAAA
Cucumis melo (muskmelon) is the source of this 1113-nucleotide long non-coding RNA. RefSeq lists it as uncharacterized. The transcript has 2 exons. The record is from RefSeq and is a predicted model, not a curated record. NCBI's taxonomy places the organism in Eukaryota, Viridiplantae, Streptophyta, Magnoliopsida, Cucurbitales, Cucurbitaceae.